UUUGAUCGAACCGAGCAGCAGUGCCGCGUCGCGAUCCUGGCCAUAAGUGGCCAGCAGCGCCUGCGCCUC
This 69-nucleotide antisense RNA is filed under the name Tamaricihabitans halophyticus. Its description in RNAcentral is "ASpks TB sRNA". It matches the Rfam family "ASpks TB sRNA". The record is from Rfam by way of RNAcentral. Lineage: Bacteria; Bacillati; Actinomycetota; Actinomycetes; Pseudonocardiales; Pseudonocardiaceae.